AGAGUUUGAUGGUGGCUCAGGAUGAACGCUGGCGGCGUGCUUAACACAUGCAAGUCGAACGAAGCGAUUUAGCGGAAGUUUUCGGAUGGAAGCUAGAUUGACUGAGUGGCGGACGGGUGAGUAACGCGUGGGUAACCUGCCUCACACUGGGGGACAACAGUUAGAAAUGACUGCUAAUACCGCGUAAGCGCACAGGACCGCAUGGUCCGGUGUGAAAAACUCCGGUGGUGUGAGAUGGACCCGCGUUUGAUUAGCUAGUUGGUGGGGUAACGGCCUACCAAGGCGACGAUCAAUAGCCGACCUGAGAGGGUGACCGGCCACAUUGGGACUGAGACACGGCCCAAACUCCUACGGGAGGCAGCAGUGGGGAAUAUUGCACAAUGGGGGAAACCCUGAUGCAGCGACGCCGCGUGAGUGAAGAAGUAUUUCGGUAUGUAAAGCUCUAUCAGCAGGGAAGAAAAUGACGGUACCUGACUAAGAAGCCCCGGCUAACUACGUGCCAGCAGCCGCGGUAAUACGUAGGGGGCAAGCGUUAUCCGGAUUUACUGGGUGUAAAGGGAGCGUAGACGGUAAAGCAAGUCUGAAGUGAAAGCCCGGGGCUCAACCCCGGGACUGCUUUGGAAACUGUUUAACUAGAGUGCUGGAGAGGUAAGCGGAAUUCCUAGUGUAGCGGUGAAAUGCGUAGAUAUUAGGAGGAACACCAGUGGCGAAGGCGGCUUACUGGACAGUAACUGACGUUGAGGCUCGAAAGCGUGGGGAGCAAACAGGAUUAGAUACCCUGAUAGUCCACGCCGUAAACGAUGAAUACUAGGUGUUGGGGGACAAAGUCCUUCGGUGCCGUCGCAAACGCAAUAAGUAUUCCACCUGGGGAGUACGUCGCAA
Molecule: ribosomal RNA, 882 nt
Filed under: uncultured bacterium
Lineage: Bacteria
Description: bacterial SSU rRNA
Rfam family: Bacterial small subunit ribosomal RNA
Source: RNAcentral